Molecule: long non-coding RNA, 317 nt
Filed under: Bos taurus (domestic cattle)
Lineage: Eukaryota; Metazoa; Chordata; Mammalia; Artiodactyla; Bovidae
Description: long non-coding RNA NONBTAT026901
Source: RNAcentral
AAAAAGUCUUGAGUAAAGUAGUGGACUUGUUCAUUUGUCACCUCAUAUAUUAUGCGCAUUCAGUCUCCUCGGAAGUCACCACAAAGUGAGGGAAAGGUUGAGUAAUUCAAUAAAAUUAUCCUGAGAUCACAUUGUAGGUUAUACAUUUAUUUAAGCAAUUCUGUUAUCAACACCAGCCUGCUUCCUUUGGGUGUGUUUUAGUAUGUGUGUUAGCUUGAUGAGUUCCCUGUCUUGUCUUUUCACAGACAAAGAAAAUGUCUUUAGGUGCCAUUAAUGGACAUUAAGAUUCAAGUCAGCUUUGUGUUACCAAAUAAAUG